UGGUAUAGACAUUAAACCUAAAUGUGAAAUAAUGGAAAAAUAUAAUACAUAGUUUCUAACAAAAUAAAAUGCAUUUGUAUACCUUUCUCGCUCAAAAUGUAAUACUCCCUCCAUUUUUUAAUAUAAGUCGUUUUACAGCUAUGCACGUAGAUUAAGAAAACCAUUAAUUUCUUAUAUUUUCUAAACAAAAACAUCAUUAAUUAUUUACCUAACCACAAUUCAACCAAUAGAAAAAUAUAAGAUAUUACCAUUGGUCAUACAACAUUAAUUAUUAAUAAAUUUUACAUAGAAAACCGAAAACGACAUAUAAUUUGGCACAAAAAAAUUUCUAUAAAACGACUUAUAAUAAAAAACGGAGGGAGUAUUGUAUUGGGUUGUUGUUGUUUUUUUCUUUCUCUUUUUUGUUGUAAUAAGUUGCUUGCAUUGUAAACUUUUGAAAAAGAAAAUGGUACUAAAAUUUUAACAUUUUACCAAGAAAAAUGUAAUACUGUCUCUAUGCCAUAAAGAGAUUUGAAAAAGAGGAUUUAAAGGAAUGCUUAUAGAAUAAGUGUCUAGUCUCUUGCCCGCAAGAAAGACCAAGAAAAAAGGAAAUUCAUGAGUGUGGGACUCUCCUAACUGCUUCCUUCCUUGGACCAUAUGGUCCCACAGUCCAUGCCAUUACAAAUAAAUCAUAACUAAACCAACUUUUUCACCAUACUUUGUUUCCACGUGUCUUGUGUUAGCUGAGAUUAGAUUUAUUUAUAUGAAGCCAUUAGGUGUAAGUUUUAAAUGUUGGCCUAAAAGAUUAGGUAUAAAAAAAUUCUUAAUCAUCCUAUAUAGGUACGUAUAAUUGUUUUAAGAACUUUUACUGUCACUUACAUGUUACUAACUUUAGCUGGAUUUCAAAUGUCA
RNAcentral lists this long non-coding RNA (891 nucleotides) under Brassica rapa (field mustard). Its description in RNAcentral is "long non-coding RNA (BRAP_LNC007130)". The record is from RNAcentral. Lineage: Eukaryota; Viridiplantae; Streptophyta; Magnoliopsida; Brassicales; Brassicaceae.